CAUCAAUGAAGAACGUAGCAAAUUGCGAUACUUGGUGUGAAUUGCAGAAUCCCGUGAACCAUCGAGUCUUUGAACGCAAGUUGCGCCCGAAGCCUUCGGGUCGAGGGCACGUUUGCCUGGGUGUCA
This 126-nucleotide ribosomal RNA is filed under the name Eucalyptus odontocarpa. Its description in RNAcentral is "partial 5.8S ribosomal RNA". It matches the Rfam family "5.8S ribosomal RNA", at positions 31 to 154 of the family's 154-position model. Rfam says of the family: 5.8S ribosomal RNA (5.8S rRNA) is a component of the large subunit of the eukaryotic ribosome. It is transcribed by RNA polymerase I as part of the 45S precursor that also contains 18S and 28S rRNA. The record is from RNAcentral. Lineage: Eukaryota; Viridiplantae; Streptophyta; Magnoliopsida; Myrtales; Myrtaceae.